Molecule: ribosomal RNA, 492 nt
Filed under: uncultured bacterium
Lineage: Bacteria
Description: partial 16S ribosomal RNA
Rfam family: Bacterial small subunit ribosomal RNA
Source: RNAcentral
AGUGAACGCUGGCGGUAGGCCUAACACAUGCAAGUCGAACGGCAGCACAGUAAGAGCUUGCUCUUACGGGUGGCGCGUGGCGGACGGGCGAGGAAUACAUCGGAAUCUACUUUUUCGUGGGGGAUAACGUAGGGAAACUUACGCUAAUACCGCAUACGACCUACGGGUGAAAGCAUGGGAUCUUCGGACCUUGCGCGAUUGAAUGAGCCGAUGUCGGAUUAGCUAGUUGGCGGGGUAAAGGCCCACCAAGGCGACGAUCCGUAGCUGGUCUGAGGGGAUGAUCAGCCACACUGGAACUGAGACACGGUCCAGACUCCUACGGGAGGCAGCAGUGGGGAAUAUGGGACAAUGGGCGCAAGCCUGAGCCAGCCAUACCGCGUGGGUGAAGAAGGCCUUCGGUUUGUAAAGCCCUUUUGUUGGGAAAGAAAAGCAGCAGGUUAAUACCCCGCUGUUCUGACGGUACCCAAAGAAUAAGCACCGGCUAACUUCGUG